GCCGGGCGUGGUAGGGCAUGCCUGUAAUCCCAGCUACUUGGGAGGCUGAGACAGGAGAAUCGCUUGAACCCGGGAGGCAGAGGUUGCAGUGAGCCAAGAUUGCGCCACUGCACUCCAGCCUGGGUGAUAGAGUGAGAUUCAGUCUCAA
Molecule: signal recognition particle RNA, 148 nt
Filed under: Pan troglodytes (chimpanzee)
Lineage: Eukaryota; Metazoa; Chordata; Mammalia; Primates; Hominidae
Description: Metazoan signal recognition particle RNA
Rfam family: Metazoan signal recognition particle RNA
About the family: The signal recognition particle (SRP) is a universally conserved ribonucleoprotein. It is involved in the co-translational targeting of proteins to membranes.
Source: Rfam by way of RNAcentral